GCUGGGCGGGCCGGGCUGGGCGGCCCCGGCGGCGGGGGCGGUCCGCUCCCGGAGGCCGCGCCUCCUUUGCACCCUCCUUCCUGAAGAUGGCCGCGCAGGCCAGGGCUCCGGCACCCGGCUGCGGACCAGAUCCCCUGGGCUGCACCCGGCCUUGCGCCCCUGGUCCGCGCUCGCAGGCUCGGAAACGGGCGGUCCUCCCGAGGCUGAAAGGGAGAAGAGGGUAGUGAUUAUGAGGUUGGACCCCGGAGUUAGACAGUCUGGGUGCAAAUGCUGUAUGACCUUGGACAAAGCAUGGCACCCGAGUUUUCUCACCAACAAAAUGAGGGGAAAAAAGGAAAAUGAAGUCCUAUUAAUAUGUUUAUGAUAGGAAGAAUAAUUAGAAAAGUAGAAUAAAAAAACUGAAGCAUGGUGAAAUCA
RNAcentral lists this long non-coding RNA (417 nucleotides) under Sus scrofa (pig). Its description in RNAcentral is "lncRNA (ENSSSCG00070012237.1)". Lineage: Eukaryota; Metazoa; Chordata; Mammalia; Artiodactyla; Suidae. The record is from RNAcentral.